UCUAAGCAAAUAUUUUGCCAGAGAUUCAGAACAGCUGCCAUCAUCUGGAAAAGAUGAACAGACACAACAGGGGAUUCCAGAAGUUUGUUUCCACGAAACUGCAGUACAUGUUCCUUCAGAAGUGAAAGAGGAAGCAGCUAAACGAAAAGCGGCUGACAUUUUUAUCUCCCAGUAUGAUGCUGGGCAGAAGGAGGCUGUAAGAGCUGUAUUCAAGCAGCGGUAAGUAUGGCAACUUGGAACAAAGUAUUAAUCUCUUCGAAUGGUUCUAAAGCACUAGAUAUGUCUAGUCACAUCUUGAGGGUACAAAGAAUUGAGUGCCCCGUGAUGUCUUUCACAACUUUUAAAUGGUUGAUCACAACAGAAAACGCAAACACGAAAACCCUUAUAUUUAGAACAAGCAAUAUACUGAAAUGAAGCUACAUGGUC
Anolis sagrei ordinatus is the source of this 426-nucleotide non-coding RNA. The record is from RefSeq and is a predicted model, not a curated record. Lineage: Eukaryota; Metazoa; Chordata; Lepidosauria; Squamata; Anolidae.